RNAcentral lists this ribosomal RNA (514 nucleotides) under uncultured bacterium. RNAcentral's name for it is "bacterial SSU rRNA". It matches the Rfam family "Bacterial small subunit ribosomal RNA", at positions 29 to 530 of the family's 1533-position model. The record is from RNAcentral.
AGUGAACGCUGGCGGCAGGCCUAACACAUGCAAGUCGAACGGCAGCACGGCAGUAGCAAUACUGUGGGUGGCGAGUGGCGGACGGGUGAGGAAUACAUCGGGAUCUACCCUGUUGUGGGGGAUAACGUAGGGAAACUUACGCUAAUACCGCAUAAGAACUGAGGUUGAAAGCGGCGGACCGCAAGGCGUCGCGCGAUUGGAUGAACCGAUGUCCGAUUAGCUAGUUGGCGGGUAAAGGCCCACCAAGGCGACGAUCGGUAGCUGGUCUGAGAGGACGACCAGCCACACUGGAACUGAGACACGGUCCAGACUCCUACGGGAGGCAGCAGUGGGGAAUAUUGGACAAUGGGCGCAAGCCUGAUCCAGCCAUGCCGCGUGGGUGAAGAAGGCCUUCGGGUUGUAAAGCCCUUUUGUCCGGUAAAGAAAGCAUUCGGUUAAUACCCGGGUGUUCUGACGGUACCGGAAGAAUAAGCACCGCUAACUUCGUGCCAGCAGCCGCGGUAAACAUACUACG